UCGGGAAUUUUGGGCAAUGGGCGAAAGCCUGACCCAGCAACGCCGCGUGAGGGAUGAAGUAUUUCGGUAUGUAAACCUCGAAAGAAUGGGAAGAAUAAAUGACGGUACCAUUUAUAAGCUCCGGCUAACUACGUGCCAGCAGCCGCGGUAAUACGUAGGGAGCAAGCGUUGUUCGGAUUUACUGGGCGUAACGGGCGCGUAGGCGGCGCGGUAAGUCACUGGUGAAAUCUCUGAGCUUAACUCAGAACGGCCAAGUGAUACUGCUGUGCUAGAGUGCAGAAGAGGCAACCGGAAUUCUGGGUGUAGCGGUGAAAUGCGUAGAUAUCAAGAGGAACACCUGAGGCGAAGGCGGGUGGCUGGGCCGACACUGACGCUGAUGCGC
Molecule: ribosomal RNA, 382 nt
Filed under: uncultured bacterium
Lineage: Bacteria
Description: bacterial SSU rRNA
Rfam family: Bacterial small subunit ribosomal RNA
Source: RNAcentral